GGGGAAUCUUGCGCAAUGGACGAAAGUCUGACGCAGCGUCGCCGCGUGGGGGAAGAAGGCCUUCGGGUUGUAAACCUCUUUCAGCAGGGACGAAGCCACUCGGGUUAAUAGCCCAGAGGGUGACGGUACCUGCAGAAGAAGCCCCGGCUAACUACGUGCCAGCAGCCGCGGUAAUACGUAGGGGGCAAGCGUUGUCCGGAUUUAUUGGGCGUAAAGAGCGUGUAGGCGGCCAGAUAGGUCGGUUGUGAAAACUGGAGGCUUAACCUUCAGACGUCGACCGAAACCAUCUGGCUAGAGUCCGGAAGAGGAGAAUGGAAUUCCUGGUGUAGCGGUGAAAUGCGCAGAUAUCAGGAAGAACACCCGUGGCUAAGGCGGUUCUCUAGUACGGUACUGACGCUGAGACGCGAAAGCGUGGGGAGCGAA
This 423-nucleotide ribosomal RNA is filed under the name uncultured bacterium. Its description in RNAcentral is "bacterial SSU rRNA". It matches the Rfam family "Bacterial small subunit ribosomal RNA", at positions 356 to 772 of the family's 1533-position model. The record is from RNAcentral.